GAAGGUAUAGCUCAGUGGUACAGUGCAUGCUUAGCAUGCACGAGGUCCUGGGUUCAAUCCCCAGUACUUCCA
RNAcentral lists this transfer RNA (72 nucleotides) under Camelus bactrianus (Bactrian camel). It matches the Rfam family "tRNA". Rfam says of the family: Transfer RNA (tRNA) molecules are approximately 80 nucleotides in length. Their secondary structure includes four short double-helical elements and three loops (D, anti-codon, and T loops). RNAcentral also lists the same sequence under 2 other names. The record is from Rfam by way of RNAcentral. Lineage: Eukaryota; Metazoa; Chordata; Mammalia; Artiodactyla; Camelidae.